GGGGGAUAAGCGGAAGAAAUUCCGUCUAAUACCGCAUAAUACAAUUUGGAGACAUCUCCGGGUUGUCAAAGGAGUGAUCCGGCAGAGGAUGGACAUGCGGCGCAUUAGCUAGUCGGCGGGGUAACGGCCCACCGAGGCUACGAUGCGUAGGGGUUCUGAGAGGAAGGUCCCCCACACUGGUACUGAGACACGGACCAGACUCCUACGGGAGGCAGCAGUGAGGAAUAUUGGUCAAUGGGCGGAAGCCUGAACCAGCCAAGUCGCGUGAGGGAAGACGGUCCUAUGGAUUGUAAACCUCUUUUGCAGGGGAGCAAGGCGCGGUACGUGUACCGCGAAGGAGAGUACCCUGAGAAAAAGCAUCGGCUAACUCCGUGCCAGCAGCCGCGGUAAUACGGAGGAUGCGAGCGUUAUCCGGAUUUAUUGGGUUUAAAGGGUGCGCAGGCGGACUGUUAAGUCAGCGGUAAAAUGUCGGUGCUCAACACCGGCCGGCCGCUGAAACUGGCAGCCUUGAGUGAGCGAGAAGUAUGCGGAAUGCGUGGUGUAGCGGUGAAAUGCAUAGAUAUCACGCAGAACUCCGAUUGCGAAGGCAGCAUACCGGCGCUCAACUGACGCUCAGGCACGAAAGCGUGGGUAUCGAACAGGCUUAGAUACCCUGGUAGUCCACGCAGUAAACGAU
Molecule: ribosomal RNA, 676 nt
Filed under: uncultured bacterium
Lineage: Bacteria
Description: bacterial SSU rRNA
Rfam family: Bacterial small subunit ribosomal RNA
Source: RNAcentral